Molecule: ribosomal RNA, 253 nt
Filed under: uncultured bacterium
Lineage: Bacteria
Description: partial 16S ribosomal RNA
Rfam family: Archaeal small subunit ribosomal RNA
Source: RNAcentral
UACCAGCACCCCGAGUGGUCGGGACGUUUAUUGGGCCUAAAGCAUCCGUAGCCGGUUCUACAAGUCUUCCGUUAAAUCCAGCUGCUUAACAGAUGGGCUGCGGAAGAUACUAUGGAGCUAGGAGGCGGGAGAGGCAAGCGGUACUCGAUGGGUAGGGGUAAAAUCCUUUGAUCCAUUGAAGACCACCAGUGGCGAAGGCGGCUUGCCAGAACGCGCUCGACGGUGAGGGAUGAAAGCUGGGGGAGCAAACCGG